RNAcentral lists this ribosomal RNA (269 nucleotides) under uncultured bacterium. RNAcentral's name for it is "partial 16S ribosomal RNA". The record is from RNAcentral.
CUGCUGCCUUCCGUAGGAGUUUGGGCCGUGUCUCAGUCCCAAUGUGGCCGUCCACCCUCUCAGGCCGGCUACUGAUCGUCGCCUUGGUGGGGCCGUUUACCCCGCCAACAAGCUAAUCAGACGCGGGUCCAUCUUACACCACCGGAGUUUUUUCACACAAAUCCAUGCGGCUUCGUGCGCUUAUGCGGUAUUAGCACCUAUUUCUAAGUGUUAUUCCCCCAGUGUAAGGCAGGUUACCCACGCGUUACUCACCCGUCCGCCACUAAGUA